This 549-nucleotide small RNA is filed under the name Pongo abelii (Sumatran orangutan). RNAcentral's name for it is "processed transcript". The record is from RNAcentral. Lineage: Eukaryota; Metazoa; Chordata; Mammalia; Primates; Hominidae.
GCGGAACUCCGGGUGCCGGUUGAGGUUGCUGGUGGACCUGCUCUGGUGGUCUUGGAUGAGGCCCCAAUGAGCGCGGCGCCCCUGGUGGGCUACAGCAGCAGCGGCUCCGAGGAUGAGUCCGAGGACGGGAUGCGGCCCAGGCCGGGGGAUGGGAGCCACCGUCGUGGCCAGAGCCCCCUUCCCAGGCAGAGAUUUCCAGUACCUGACAGUGUGCUGAACAUGUUCCCGGGCACCGAGGAGGGGCCUGAAGAUGACAGCACAAAACACGGGGGACGGGUGCGCACCUUCCCGCACGAGCGCGGCAACUGGGCCACCCACGUUUAUGUACCAUAUGAAGCCAAGGAGGAGUUCCUGGAUCUGCUUGAUGUGUUGCUGCCGCAUGCCCAGACAUAUGUCCCCCGGCUGGUAAGGAUGGAGGCGUUCCACCUCAGCCUGUCCCAGAGUGUGGUUCUGCGCCACCACUGGAUCCUCCCCUUCGUGCAGGCUCUGAAAGCCCGUAUGACCUCCUUCCAGAGAAAUGCAUCUCCUGCUAGACUGGUCCAGAUCAAA